UUCAUCUUCUGUUAGUAUUGUGAUAUCAGAAAACACAUAAUACUAUCAGAUAUUAUUACAUAUAAUUGUGGCGCACUCCAAUUUUAGCACUUAAUUUUUUUUUUGUCCAUAUGUCGUGUGUGAAAUUGAAUAUAUAGUUGUUGGUAACUAGCAUAUCUGAAUAACUAUUCUCAUUCAACUGGUACACAAAUGAAAACAGACUGUAAUUUAACCUCUGUUCUAGUUCAUUUGUAUUUAAUAUUUAUGUCCUAACGACAACUGUUUGAGUAUGUUUGGGAUCAGCUUGACAAGAUGCCCAUGACCAAGGAGGAGGGUUCUGGUUCAUGUGUAAGGUAAGUUUAUUUGGUGUGAACACAGUUUGAGCUUUUGAUUCAUAGCAAACUUGAUUUAGUGUUCAAUAUAUAUGAACGGUUUACAUUCUUUAUGCCAAUCCAGAUACAUGUUUGAGUGAGGAAUAUAUAUGAAAGAUUUUAGAUCUGUUGAGUUUUUCCUUGGCAGUAUUUUUCUGAAAGAUUUGGCUUUCUAAUAUUUUACGCUUUACUACCAAUGAGGUUCUACUUAGUUGAUAUUACUAAUACCAGAACUUCAUUUAUAUCUUGCAGCUUCAGAAAAUGGACAAUUUCCUCUUUACCUUUGAGUCGAUCUGUAAAUGAUCGAGGGACACCCCAAUAAGCUCUGUGAUCAGAUUUCUGAUGCAGUGCUUGAAUUUUCUAGAGUAUGAUAUAUAAUGUAUAAGCUUUGUGAUCAAAUUUCCUAUACAGUGUUUAACAUUUUGAUAGUAUGAUGUAUGAAGUAUUUCAAAUUCUUCAAUGGAAUAUUAAUUGUAGAUGGGUAUCUCUUUUGUUUAUUCAAAUGUACAUAGCACUAUAGCUUUGUCAUUGUGAUGUAUGUAUUUUUUGCUAACAGAAUAAUUGAUUUUCUGCAUUUGAUCAGAAAAUCAAUGUGUAAUUUUUUUUUU
RNAcentral lists this long non-coding RNA (958 nucleotides) under Fragaria vesca (wild strawberry). RNAcentral describes it as "long non-coding RNA (FVES_LNC000030)". The record is from RNAcentral. Lineage: Eukaryota; Viridiplantae; Streptophyta; Magnoliopsida; Rosales; Rosaceae.